CGAUGGAGGGGGAUAACUACUGGAAACGGUAGCUAAUACCGCAUAACGUCGCAAGACCAAAGAGGGGGACCUUAGGGCCUCUUGCCAUCGGAUGUGCCCAGAUGGGAUUAGCUAGUAGGUGGGGUAAUGGCUCACCUAGGCGACGAUCCCUAGCUGGUCUGAGAGGAUGACCAGCCACACUGGAACUGAGACACGGUCCAG
Molecule: ribosomal RNA, 201 nt
Filed under: uncultured bacterium
Lineage: Bacteria
Description: partial 16S ribosomal RNA
Rfam family: Bacterial small subunit ribosomal RNA
Source: RNAcentral